This 260-nucleotide unclassified non-coding RNA is filed under the name uncultured fungus. Its description in RNAcentral is "partial contains 5.8S rRNA and ITS2". The record is from RNAcentral. Lineage: Eukaryota; Fungi.
AACGCACAUUGCGCCCCCUGGCAUUCCGGGGGGCAUGCCUGUCCGAGCGUCAUUGCUGCCCAUCAAGCCCGGCUUGUGUGUUGGGUCGUCGUCCCCCCCGGGGGACGGGCCCGAAAGGCAGCGGCGGCACCGUGUCCGGUCCUCGAGCGUAUGGGGCUUUGUCACCCGCUCGACUAGGGCCGGCCGGGCGCCAGCCGACGUCUCCAACCAUUUUUCUUCAGGUUGACCUCGGAUCAGGUAGGGAUACCCGCUGAACUUAA